Molecule: ribosomal RNA, 497 nt
Filed under: uncultured bacterium
Lineage: Bacteria
Description: partial 16S ribosomal RNA
Rfam family: Bacterial small subunit ribosomal RNA
Source: RNAcentral
GAUGAACGCUGGCGGCGUGCCUAAUACAUGCAAGUCGAGCGAACAGACGAGGAGCUUGCUCCUCUGACGUUAGCGGCGGACGGGUGAGUAACACGUGGAUAACCUACCUAUAAGACUGGGAUAACUUCGGGAAACCGGAGCUAAUACCGGAUAAUAUAUUGAACCGCAUGGUUCAAUAGUGAAAGACGGUUUUGCUGUCACUUAUAGAUGGAUCCGCGCCGCAUUAGCUAGUUGGUAAGGUAACGGCUUACCAAGGCAACGAUGCGUAGCCGACCUGAGAGGGUGAUCGGCCACACUGGAACUUAGCCACGGUCCAGACUCCUACGGGAGGCAGCAGUAGGGAAUCUUCCGCAAUGGGCGAAAGCCUGACGGAGCAACGCCGCGUGAAUGAUGAAGGUCUUCGGAUCGUAAAACUCUGUUAUUAGGGAAGAACAAAUGUGUAAGUAACUAUGCACGUCUUGACGGUACCUAAUCAGAAAGCCACGGCUAACUACGUG